GAUGAACGCUGGCGGCGUGCCUAAUACAUGCAAGUCGAGCGAGAAUCUGAUGAAUGGAGAUUCGUCAAAAUGAAUCAGAGGAAAGCGGCGGACGGGUGAGUAACGCGUGAGCAAUCUGCCCCUGAUUGCGGGAUAACAGAGAGAAAUUUCUGCUAAUACGGCAUAACACAUCGGGACCGCAUGGUUCUGGUGUCAAAGAUUCAUUGAUCAGGGAUGAGCUCGCGUCCGAUUAGAUAGUUGGUGACGGUAACGGCGCACCAAGUCGACGAUCGGUAGCCGGACUGAGAGGUUGAACGGCCACAUUGGGACUGAGACACGGCCCAGACUCC
This 329-nucleotide ribosomal RNA is filed under the name uncultured Ruminococcus sp. Its description in RNAcentral is "bacterial SSU rRNA". It matches the Rfam family "Bacterial small subunit ribosomal RNA", at positions 28 to 339 of the family's 1533-position model. The record is from RNAcentral. Lineage: Bacteria; Bacillati; Bacillota; Clostridia; Eubacteriales; Oscillospiraceae.